RNAcentral lists this ribosomal RNA (462 nucleotides) under uncultured bacterium. Its description in RNAcentral is "partial 16S ribosomal RNA". It matches the Rfam family "Bacterial small subunit ribosomal RNA", at positions 28 to 506 of the family's 1533-position model. The record is from RNAcentral.
GACGAACGCUGGCGGCGUGCUUAACACAUGCAAGUCGAACGGAAAGGCCUUUUCGGAGGUACUUGAGUGGCGAACGGGUGAGUAACACGUGGGUGAUCUGCCCUGCACUCUGGGAUAAGCCUGGGAAACUGGGUCUAAUACCGGAUAGGACCGCACUUUAGUGUGUGUGGUGGAAAGUUUUUUCGGUGUAGGAUGAGCCCGCGGCCUAUCAGCUUGUUGGUGGGGUAAUGGCCUACCAAGGCGGCGACGGGUAGCCGGACUGAGAGGUUGGUCGGCCACAUUGGGACUGAGAUACGGCCCAGACUCCUACGGGAGGCAGCAGUGGGGAAUAUUGCACAAUGGGCGCAAGCCUGAUGCAGCGACGCCGCGUGGGGGAUGACGGCCUUCGGGUUGUAAACUCCUUUCGCCAGGGACGAAGCGUUUUGUGACGGUACCUGGAGAAGAAGCACCGGCUAACUACGU